Molecule: long non-coding RNA, 448 nt
Organism: Centruroides sculpturatus (bark scorpion)
Lineage: Eukaryota; Metazoa; Arthropoda; Arachnida; Scorpiones; Buthidae
Exons: 2
Source: RefSeq, a predicted model, not a curated record
AUCGAUCUAAUUAGAUGUCUAUUAAAUCCAUUAAAUUCCGAUAUUUUCGUUACAGGUGGGAAUACAUUCCGUCCGGUCAGAACUCGUCCCGCUUCGCUAUGCGAACGCGUGCAAAUCCAAACGUGGGACAGGCGCCAUCUGACGGCUAACUCGAGAACUAACGGAGAAAGGAAGCGGGACUCGAAAUUUCGCAGAAGCGACCCGACCAGGAAUAGCAAAAUAUGGCAGGACAUCCCCCAAAUUACUCACGCAUCGAUGAGCCACGACUCCCAUCCGGAAGUCAAAGAGGUGGUUAAAGGAUGGAAAACAACAGAGACGUUGGAAAACGGCGUACAUCGCUCCAAGAGUUUAAAUGGAAUCGAUAAAGACGAUCGUCAACCGGAAUGGAUCGAACUAAGCAAAAAAGUAACGAGUAAAAACAUCGAUUGGGAUAACUUGCCCACUGCCA